RNAcentral lists this unclassified non-coding RNA (234 nucleotides) under uncultured fungus. RNAcentral's name for it is "sequence contains ITS1". The record is from RNAcentral. Lineage: Eukaryota; Fungi.
GUAUUAUAUCGCGUUAAACGCAGAGUACAUUCCAUAAGACUUCGCUACGGCGUGUGUGUAAAGACAUAGAACCAUGGAAGGAAGACGGCGCGUCCCCCAGACCAUAGAACUACAGAGGGUGCACAGGUGUGAGUGGAUGUGUGAACAGAGUGUGCACAUGCCCCCGUUUGAGGACCAGCAACAACUCGUGUCGACAACUCUGUAAUGAUCCUUCCGCAGGUUCACCUACGGAAA